CUGGCUUUUAUUUUAUUGGCACAGCCAGUAUUUGAGGCUGCCUGGCUGGUGCCAAUAUUGCAGUGAUAUUGGCAAUACAAAUGCUGGUAUUUUUUCUCAGUAUAAACAAUAGAUUACUAUGCAAUACCAGCACUGGCCAGUAGGGGUCGCUGUGUGUGGAGACAGGCAGGGAUAGGAAGUUCCUGCAUAUCCCUCCCUGCCUAUCUAUACUCACUGAUCUGCAGGGGUGCAGCUACAGAGAGUCCAGACAGCAACUCCCACCCUGCAGAGACAGCCUACAGCUCAGGGAAGUAAGGGAUGGGGGGAAAGGCUUCAGGGAGACAUACACUGAGACACUAAGGGACACUGGGAGACAUUAUGGCAGACACAGUGUCCCCAUGUCUCCCAGUGUCCCCAUGUCUCCCAACCAGUGUCCCUGGUGUCUCAGUGCCCCCUAGUCUCCCAGUGACCCCUAGUCUCCCAGUGUCUCACUGUCCCCAUGUCUCCUAGUGCCUCCAUGUCUCCCAGUGCCUCAAGUGUCUCAAUGUCCCCUUGUCUCCAAGCUAGUGUCCCUAGUGUCUGUGGCCGUGGUGUCUGUGUCCCCAUGUCUCCCAGUGCCCCCAUGUCUCAAUCCCCAUGUCCCCCAGCCAGUGUCUCUAGUGUCUGUGUCCCCAUGUCUUCAAGUGUCCCCUAUUUUCCCAGUGUCCCAGCCAAUGUCCCCUAGUUUCCC
This is a non-coding RNA of Pelobates cultripes (western spadefoot toad), 709 nucleotides long. NCBI's taxonomy places the organism in Eukaryota, Metazoa, Chordata, Amphibia, Anura, Pelobatidae. The record is from the annotation of a GenBank genome assembly.